Molecule: ribosomal RNA, 315 nt
Filed under: uncultured eukaryote
Lineage: Eukaryota
Description: partial 18S ribosomal RNA
Rfam family: Eukaryotic small subunit ribosomal RNA
Source: RNAcentral
CCCUUAGACGUUCUGGGCCGCACGCGCGCUACACUGACCAGUGCAACAAGCAUCCGUCCUUGGCCGACAGGCCCGGGCAAUCUUUGAACGCUGGUCGUGAUGGGGAUAGACUUUUGCAAUUUUUGGUCUUCAACGAGGAAUUCCUAGUAAACGCAAGUCAUCAACUUGCAUUGAUUACGUCCCUGCCCUUUGUACACACCGCCCGGCGCACCUACCGAUUGAAUGGUCCGGUGAAGCCUCCGGAUUGGCGCGCACCUCGGUGCCGCCGAGAAGUUGGCUAAACCUUACCAUUUAGAGGAAGGUGAAGUCGUAACA